Paramuricea clavata is the source of this 339-nucleotide non-coding RNA. Lineage: Eukaryota; Metazoa; Cnidaria; Anthozoa; Malacalcyonacea; Plexauridae. The record is from the annotation of a GenBank genome assembly.
GUGCGGUGUGACAUUUUUAACCGAUUUUUGUUGCUCGAUUUUAAUCGGACAACAUCAAAACGUUUUGAUAUUUUACGAUUUUUGUCGGUGGAUUUUUAAGUAUAACCAAUCAGAUUUCAUGCUGUGAUCACGUGCUUGUAUUUAUUUGGCAACAUGGCGGCUACAGUUCAGGGAGCGUAUUUUUUUCGUAAUCGUGUGCGGAGUAUACCGAUGUAUAUCGGUAUAUCAAACGAUUUUUAUCGGCCGACUAAAAUCGCAUCGUGUGCGCCAGGCUUAACCAGGAAAAUAGGGUUAUUUUUAUAUGUCACCAGAGUGUCUUAGAGUGUAGUAUAUAGCCAG